AGAGUUUGAUCCUGGCUCAGGACGAACGCUGGCGGUGCGCCUAAUGCAUGCAAGUCGAACGGGCAAUGGGGCUUCGGCCCCGGCGCUAGUGGCAGACGGCUGAGUAACACGUAAGUGAUCUGCCCCGGAGAGGGGGAUAAUCCGGAGAAAUCCGGCCUAAUACCCCGUACGUUCAUAUGGUUACGGCCGUAUGAAGAAAGGUUUCGACCGCUCUGGGAGGAGCUUGCGGCCUAUCAGGUAGUUGGCGGGGUAAUGGCCCACCAAGCCUAAGACGGGUAACCGAUGUGAGAGCAUGAUCGGUCAGAGGGGGACUGAGACACGGCCCCCACUCCUACGGGAGGCAGCAGCAGGGAAUCUUGCGCAAUGGGCGAAAGCCUGACGCAGCGACACCGCGUGGGGGAAGAAGGCUUUAGGGUUGUAAACCCCUUUUCUGUGGGAAGAGAUAGGACGGUACCACAGGAAUAAGCAUCGGCUAACUACGUGCCAGCAGCCGCGGUAAUACGUAGGAUGCAAGCGUUGUCCGGAUUUACUGGGCGUAAAGGGUGUGUAGGCGGCAUGUUAAGUCUCAUGUGAAAUCUCCCGGCUCAACUGGGAGCGGUCAUGGGAAACUGGCAAGCUUGAGGGCAGCAGAGGAAAGCGGAAUUCCGGGAGUAGUGGUGGAAUGCGUAGAUACCCGGAGGAACACCAGAGGCGAAGGCGGCUUUCUGGGCUGUACCUGACGCUGAGACACGAAAGCGUGGGGAGCAAACCGGAUUAGAUACCCGGGUAGUCCACGCCCUAAACGAUGGAUACUAGAUAUAGGGGGUAUCGACCCCUCCUGUGUCGGAGCUAACGCGAUAAGUAUCCCGCCUGGGGAGUACGGCCGCAAGGCUAAAACUCAAAGGAAUUGACGGGUCCCCGCACAAGCGGCGGAGCGUGUGGUUUAAUUCGAUGAUAAGCGAAGAACCUUACCUGGGCUUGACAUGCGUCUGACAGCCCGUGAAAGCGGGUUUUCCUUCGGGACAGAUGCACAGAUGUUGCAUGGCUGUCGUCAGCUCGUG
This 1040-nucleotide ribosomal RNA is filed under the name uncultured bacterium. RNAcentral describes it as "bacterial SSU rRNA". It matches the Rfam family "Bacterial small subunit ribosomal RNA", at positions 8 to 1064 of the family's 1533-position model. The record is from RNAcentral.